UAACGCGUGAGGAACCUACCUCUCAGAGGGGGACAACAGUUGGAAACGACUGCUAAUACCGCAUAAUAUAUCUGUAUCGCAUGGUAUGGAUAUCAAAGAUUUAUCGCUGAGAGAUGGCCUCGCGUCUGAUUAGCUAGUUGGUAGGGUAACGGCCUACCAAGGCAACGAUCAGUAGCCGGACUGAGAGGUUGGCCGGCCACAUUGGGACUGAGAUACGGCCCAGACUCCUACGGGAGGCAGCAG
RNAcentral lists this ribosomal RNA (243 nucleotides) under uncultured bacterium. RNAcentral's name for it is "partial 16S ribosomal RNA". It matches the Rfam family "Bacterial small subunit ribosomal RNA", at positions 111 to 354 of the family's 1533-position model. The record is from RNAcentral.